UUCACCAAAUUGGGCUCUGGCUGGCAUAGAAGAUUGGACUUCAUUAAACCUUCACCAUAUUUGGUCCUUCAAAGGAUCCUGAAGAACCAGUCCAAGCUCAAGCCCAUACUUUUUACUUUAAUAAGAGUACCCACCCUACCAUUCGAGUCAAGCAUAGGAAGCUGAAUAUAAGGAAAAUGGCUUCUUUGCUUACGGAAAAGUCAUGAUUCUUAUCCAGUUCGAGUGAUACUACUGCCUGCAAGCUAUUCCGAAAGAGACGGUUGGUAGAUAUCACAUGUGGACCAUAUGGCAUGGAUUUGAUUUUCCAUUUCUUUACACCAUUCUCACUGUAAUUAGUCAUAACUUAAGAAGUUGUACCUUUGAAUCUUAA
Molecule: long non-coding RNA, 370 nt
Organism: Durio zibethinus
Lineage: Eukaryota; Viridiplantae; Streptophyta; Magnoliopsida; Malvales; Malvaceae
Source: RefSeq, a predicted model, not a curated record